RNAcentral lists this ribosomal RNA (206 nucleotides) under uncultured bacterium. Its description in RNAcentral is "partial 16S ribosomal RNA". It matches the Rfam family "Bacterial small subunit ribosomal RNA", at positions 568 to 774 of the family's 1533-position model. The record is from RNAcentral.
CGCGUAGGCGGUAAGAUGUGUGUGAUGUGAAAGCCCUGGGCUUAACCUAGGAAGAGCAUCGCAAACUAUCUAACUGGAGUAUAUGAGAGGGUGGCGGAAUUUCCGGUGUAGCGGUGAAAUGCGUAGAGAUCGGAAGGAACGUCAAUGGCGAAGGCAGCCACCUGGCAUAAUACUGACGCUGAGGCGCGAAAGCGUGGGAGCGAACA